UACGUAGGGUGCGAGCGUUAAUCGGAAUUACUGGGCGUAAAGCGUGCGCAGGCGGUUCGUCGUGUCCGAUGUGAAAGCCCCGGGCUCAACCUGGGAAUGGCAUUGGAAACUGGCGGGCUUGAGUAUGAAAGAGGGACGCGGAAUUCCCGGUGUAGAGGUGAAAUUCGUAGAUAUCAGGAGGAACACCAGUGGCGAAGGCGGCGACCUGGGCCAAUACUGACGCUGAGGUGCGAAAGCGUGGGGAGCAAACAGG
Molecule: ribosomal RNA, 253 nt
Filed under: uncultured bacterium
Lineage: Bacteria
Description: partial 16S ribosomal RNA
Rfam family: Bacterial small subunit ribosomal RNA
Source: RNAcentral